RNAcentral lists this ribosomal RNA (253 nucleotides) under uncultured bacterium. RNAcentral's name for it is "partial 16S ribosomal RNA". It matches the Rfam family "Bacterial small subunit ribosomal RNA", at positions 524 to 776 of the family's 1533-position model. The record is from RNAcentral.
UACGUAGGGGGCUAGCGUUGUCCGGAAUCAUUGGGCGUAAAGCGCGUGUAGGCGGUCCGGUAAGUCCGCUGUGAAAGUCGGGGGCUCAACCCUCGGAUGCCGGUGGAUACUGUCGGGCUUGAGUACGGAAGAGGCAAGUGGAAUUCCUGGUGUAGCGGUGAAAUGCGCAGAUAUCAGGAGGAACACCAAUUGCGAAGGCAGCUCGCUGGGACGUUACUGACGCUGAGACGCGAAAGCGUGGGGAGCAAACAGG